AGCAGCCGCGGUAAUUCCAGCUCCAAUAGCGUAUAUUAAAGUUGUUGCAGUUAAAAAGCUCGUAGUUGAAUUUCGGGAUCAAUUAAUCGGUCGUGCCUCUGGUACGCACUGGUUUUAUUGGUUUCUCCCUUCUGACGAACCAGGAUGUCAUUAAUUUGGUGUCUUGGAGAAUCAGGACUGUUACUUUGAAAAAAUUAGAGUGUUUAAAGCAGGCUAACGCUUGAAUACAUUAGCAUGGAAUAAUGAAAUAGGACGUUUGAUCCUAUUUUGUUGGUUUCUAGGAUCGACGUAAUGAUUAAUAGGGAUAGUUGGGGGCAUUAGUAUUCAAUUGUCAGAGGUGAAAUUCUUGGAUUUAUUGAAGACUAACUACUGCGAAAGCAUUUGCCAAGGAUGUUUUCAUUAAUCAAGAACGAAAGUUAGGGGAUCGAAGACGAUCAGAUACCGUCGUAGUCUUAACCAUAAACUAUGCCGACUAGGGAUCGGAUGAUGUUAAUUUUUUAAUGUACUCAUUCGGCGCCUU
Molecule: ribosomal RNA, 520 nt
Filed under: uncultured Glomus
Lineage: Eukaryota; Fungi; Glomeromycota; Glomeromycetes; Glomerales; Glomeraceae
Description: SSU rRNA
Rfam family: Eukaryotic small subunit ribosomal RNA
Source: RNAcentral